This 196-nucleotide unclassified non-coding RNA is filed under the name uncultured fungus. RNAcentral's name for it is "sequence contains ITS1". Lineage: Eukaryota; Fungi. The record is from RNAcentral.
UUAACAAUUUAUGUUGUACUCAGACGACACUGUUUCAUGGUUUGAGGUCUUCUGGCGGGCGCACACCAGCGGUGAAGCCGGUGACCUAAACGGAUGGCCCGCCGAAGCAACAAGAGUAUAAAUAGGCAAGGGUGGGAGAUCUACCCCAGGGGGCAUGAACUCGGUAAUGAUCCUUCCGCAGGUUCACCUACGGAAA